GAUGAACGCUGGCGGCGUGCUUAACACAUGCAAGUCGAACGAAGCAUUUGCGACAGAUUUCUUCGGAUUGAAGUUGCUUAUGACUGAGUGGCGGACGGGUGAGUAACGCGUGGGUAACCUGCCUCAUACAGGGGGAUAGCAGCUGGAAACGGCUGGUAAUACCGCAUAAGCGCACAGUACCACAUGGUACAGUGUGAAAAACUCCGGUGGUAUGAGAUGGACCCGCGUCGGAUUAGCUAGUUGGUGAGGUAACGGCCCACCAAGGCGACGAGCAGUAGCCGACCUGAGAGGGUGACCGGCCACAUUGGGACUGAGACACGGCCCAGACUCCUACGGGAGGCAGCAGUGGGGAAUAUUGCACAAUGGAGGAAACUCUGAUGCAGCGACGCCGCGUGAGUGAAGAAGUAGUUCGCUAUGUAAAGCUCUAUCAGCAGGGAAGAUAGUGACGGUACCUGACUAAGAAGCUCCGGCUAAAUACGUGCCAGCAGCCGCCGUAA
RNAcentral lists this ribosomal RNA (497 nucleotides) under uncultured bacterium. RNAcentral describes it as "partial 16S ribosomal RNA". It matches the Rfam family "Bacterial small subunit ribosomal RNA", at positions 28 to 523 of the family's 1533-position model. The record is from RNAcentral.